RNAcentral lists this ribosomal RNA (421 nucleotides) under uncultured Hymenobacter sp. RNAcentral describes it as "bacterial SSU rRNA". It matches the Rfam family "Bacterial small subunit ribosomal RNA", at positions 355 to 774 of the family's 1533-position model. Lineage: Bacteria; Pseudomonadati; Bacteroidota; Cytophagia; Cytophagales; Hymenobacteraceae. The record is from RNAcentral.
UAGGGAAUAUUGGGCAAUGGGCGAGAGCCUGACCCAGCCAUGCCGCGUGCCGGAUGAAGGCCUUCUGGGUUGUAAACGGCUUUUCUCAGGGAAGAAAAAGAGGAUGCGUCCUAAACUGACGGUACCUGAGGAAUAAGCACCGGCUAACUCCGUGCCAGCAGCCGCGGUAAUACGGAGGGUGCAAGCGUUGUCCGGAUUUAUUGGGUUUAAAGGGUGCGUAGGUGGCCCGUUAAGUCCGGGGUGAAAGCCCACAGCUCAACUGUGGAACUGCCCUGGAUACUGGCGGGCUUGAGUCCAGACGAGGUUGGCGGAAUGGAAGAUGUAGCGGUGAAAUGCAUAGAUAUCUUCCAGAACCCCGAUUGCGUAGGCAGCUGACUAGGCUGGUACUGACACUGAGGCACGAAAGCGUGGGGAGCGAACA